Molecule: ribosomal RNA, 451 nt
Filed under: uncultured bacterium
Lineage: Bacteria
Description: partial 16S ribosomal RNA
Rfam family: Bacterial small subunit ribosomal RNA
Source: RNAcentral
GUGGGGAAUAUUGCGCAAUGGGGGAAACCCUGACGCAGCGACGCCGCGUGAGCGAAGAAGGCCUUAGGGUUGUAAAGCUCUGUUUUAAGGGACGAAUGUCGUGGGGAGUAAUAUGCUCUGCGAAUGACGGUACCUUAAGAGGAAGCCCCGGCUAACUACGUGCCAGCAGCCGCGGUAAGACGUAGGGGGCGAGCGUUGUCCGGAAUUACUGGGCGUAAAGAGCACGUAGGCGGGAACUUAAGUCAGGUGUGAAAGACCGGGGCUCAACUCCGGGGUUGGACUUGAAACUGGGUUUCUUGAGGGCAGGAGAGGAAAGCAGAAUUCCUGGUGUAGCGGUGAAAUGCGUAGAAAUCAGGAGGAAUACCAGUGGCGAAGGCGGCUUUCUGGACUGACCCUGACGCUGAGGUGCGAAAGCGUGGGUAGCAAACAGGAUUAGAUACCCGGGUAGUCC